RNAcentral lists this ribosomal RNA (301 nucleotides) under uncultured bacterium. RNAcentral describes it as "partial 16S ribosomal RNA". It matches the Rfam family "Bacterial small subunit ribosomal RNA", at positions 509 to 807 of the family's 1533-position model. The record is from RNAcentral.
CAGCAGCCACGGUAAUACAGAGGGUGCAAGCGUUAAUCGGAAUUACUGGGCGUAAAGCGCGCGUAGGUGGUUUGUUAAGUUGGAUGUGAAAGCCCCGGGCUCAACCUGGGAACUGCAUCCAAAACUGGCAAGCUAGAGUACGGUAGAGGGUGGUGUAAUUUCCUGUGUAGCGGUGAAAUGCGUAGAUAUAGGAAGGAACACCAGUGGCGAAGGCGACCACCUGGACUGAUACUGACACUGAGGUGCGAAAGCGUGGGGAGCAAACAGGAUUAGAUACCCCCGUAGUCCCUGUCUCUUAUAC